RNAcentral lists this ribosomal RNA (375 nucleotides) under Bacteroidota bacterium. Its description in RNAcentral is "bacterial SSU rRNA". It matches the Rfam family "Bacterial small subunit ribosomal RNA", at positions 1159 to 1533 of the family's 1533-position model. The record is from RNAcentral. Lineage: Bacteria; Pseudomonadati; Bacteroidota.
UAACGGGGAGGAAGGUGGGGAUGACGUCAAGUCCUCAUGGCCUUUAUGUCCAGGGCUACACACGUGCUACAAUGGCCGGUACAAACCGUCGCAAACCCGUGAGGGGGAGCUAAUCGGAAAAAGCCGGCCUCAGUUCGGAUUGAAGUCUGCAACUCGACUUCAUGAAGCUGGAAUCGCUAGUAAUCGCGGAUCAGAAUGCCGCGGUGAAUACGUUCCCGGGCCUUGUACACACCGCCCGUCACAUCACGAAAGUGGGUUGCACUAGAAGUCGGUAAGCCAACCGCAAGGAGGCAGCCGCCCAAGGUGUAAUUCAUGAUUGGGGUGAAGUCGUAACAAGGUAGCCGUAGGAGAACCUGCGGCUGGAUCACCUCCUUU